GAGCCAAUCCACAUUAAAAACUUCAGUCUGCCUGAAGUUGGCACAUACAGAUCUGGUCUUGUAGAUACAUAAAUUCACAUCCUGAAGGAUACUUGGUAGCCCCACUCCCUCUUGGGUGCUCAGCUCCCAUUGAUAAUGCCAUGUGCUAAUUCAGGCACCCAGGCUUCCAUGUAAUGUUCUUACUAUGAAGGACAGUUGGUCUUGAGGGAAAACAUUUACAUAGAUGACAGCUAUUUUCAGGAAAAUGAAAAGUACUGAGUGAAAAAGGAGGUUUUGACACUGGGUGAGAUGUAGGGUUUACACACAGUAGUUUUUGCUGCAUGUAUAUAAAUGGAUGAUUUACCAUAUUUAAAUAAAAUAAAUUCACACUCCAUUUGUAAGUGUCUAAUUUAUUUAUUUGUAGAGAUGUAUGGAAACCUUGGUUUGAAAAGCAGUUUGCAUAACAUCUGGUAUGUCAACAGUGCAACCUUCCAAUGUACUCGUUGGUGAAAAUGUCAACAGAACAAACCUGAACUCAGCAUUGGUUUACACAGAUUUCCUGGCAGACAAAGCAGUAUACUAUGAUUUGCAUGUCAGCGUAAGUGACAUGUGCCCUCCAGUUUUGAGGAGUUUACACAGCUCAGAGGUCUAAAAAGAACACAGCACAUGGCUGGUUCUUUGCAGACGUGUGCUGGCAACACAAACCCCUCGUAUUUGUGAAGUGUGAAACACUAUCUCAUUUUGACUUCCAAGUUUUCAAAAGUGGCUUUUGAUUUUUCACUGAAAUUGCUUUCUGGUGUUUUUGGGUUUUGUGGACGCAGGAAAAAAUAUAAGAUUAUAGACCCAAAGGUGGCUUAAAUCCUGGUAGUAUGCAAUCCAUGAGCAUAUUUUUUCAAUUAUUUUUACUUUUUAUGUUUUCUACACACAAAGAUACUGUACUGGGAUAUGAGAGAGGAACCGAUUGAAUUCUUGAUCGCUAUUAAUAAUAUGAAAGCAGAGAUGACAACAUUAGGAUAUUACUUACACCUCUUAUAUUGCUGCCUGCACCAGACUGGUCACAUAAAUCACUGCUGUUUCUCCUUGUUCUACCCACACUGUCUGGUUUCGGUCUGAUUUGGGUGGUGUACGUCUCUAUGGGUGAGGGGAAAACUUUGUGUGUCUAUUGUUGCCUAUCAGCUUUAAAAAAAUGAAAUGAAAGCCACACAUGACCCCACACUUGCAGCUAGGAAAGAGACACUCCAGACUGGUGGUAUAACACUCCUGCCCUGCAGUUUGAGCAGAUCCUGAAAUGCUCUUGGAUUUCCCAGGAUUUGAUAAUCUGAUUUUUUUUUUAAUCAUCACUUCUUUCAGGAUCACAUUAACUGGACAAGCAGUAAGGGUUAUCACAAGUUUAAGGGAAAGUUUUUAUUGAGGCAUGUCAUGCUUUAAGUGGAUGUGUCUGUAGCGGAAAUGCUAAGUCAGGGCUUGAAGCAGCAAUGGAGCACCUGGUGGGAAGGCAGGGCCAAGCCAGGGCAGCUCAGGUGCAUGCAAUGUUCCUGAGUGAUCAGGAGCAGUGGAGCCAGGAGCUACCCUUCCCAGAACUCAUUUAAGGGUUGGCAGGGGAAGCAAGAAGAUCUUGCUGGAGCUCCCUGUGUACCUGAGGUUUUCUGAAGCAUCCUGCUUCAAGACUUCUUGUGGCUUGCCCAGAAUUACAGAACUAAUUAAUAGGCCAGUCCUGAGGGAGAAGACAGAGCUGAAGGUGGCCCAAAGGAUGAGAUCGCCCUGCUGGCCCCGUAAGGGCAGCAGCUGCAUUGUUCUGGAAGCAGCUCUCCCAUGCUCCUCGUGCUUCCUGACAAAGCAGCAUCAGCUCAGGUCCGAGCGGAGCUCUCAUUUCUCACUGCUGCAGGGCAAUGCUUGGAGAUGCGUGCAGCUCAGGGGAUGGCAAUCUGCUGACCUGGACAGGGACCAAGCGUAUGUGUCCCGGGUUUCAGCGCUUCCAGGAUCUCAGCAGAGUGAGGGAUUUCUGCAGCUGCCAAGAGCUAGGGCACUUCCUUUGCCUUUCCUUUCUUGGUCUAAACCAGAAACUAGUCUUCAAGGAGGACAAAGACCAUCAAAGUGCUUAAGAAUAAAUAGUAAUUCAUAGCAGUCUUUGCUAAUGUGCUUAAUUUAGAGCUCUGGAGUCCAAGUCCUAGCCACAUCUCCUCUGGAUUCCAUUUUUACGGAGCAGUUGACCUAUUUAUUCACUUUUUGACCUAACAGAGGAAGAAAUAGAGGAUGGAAAAGACAUGACCAAAAUGAGGGGUUUAAAUAAAUAGCUUUAAGUGUGGGAGAAGACCAAAUUCAUUGUAACUGUAAACAUGUUUUUCUGACGUGAGCCAGAUCUGAGCACCCAUAUACUUUGGGCAAAUUUGAGUGAAUCUGAGCUUUGCAACCAGUUUGUGCCUCAGUCCUCUGCCAAACAAAAACCUAAACUGGAACUUGGGAAGUGAAUACUGAGGCUCAGUUGGUUCAGAUAAUCGUCCUCUGUGCAAACCUCCCAAACUCGUCCCAUUGGGAGUUACAGUUAAUUAAAUUAAGAUUUCACUCCUCUUCACUGAUAUCUUCAUCUCUGGGUAGAGCCUUGGGCAAAGUUGAAAGUGGAACUUGCUUCCUGUGCUUCAAGGCAGCUUUGUCUAAAACUGACUCCAGAAUCAAAAGCGCCGUGUGCAGCUAUUAACGCGCCCUCACCGC
Numida meleagris (helmeted guineafowl) is the source of this 2688-nucleotide long non-coding RNA. RefSeq lists it as uncharacterized. NCBI's taxonomy places the organism in Eukaryota, Metazoa, Chordata, Aves, Galliformes, Numididae. The transcript has 4 exons. The record is from RefSeq and is a predicted model, not a curated record.